GGCAGCUGCAGCAGCAUCUGGCAGCAGCAGCAUCUGCCAGCAGCACUACGGCCGUCACGCACGAAUUAGAGUUUGAUCCUGGCUCAGGAUGAACGCUAGCUACAGGCUUAACACAUGCAAGUCGAGGGGCAGCAUGAUCGAAGCUUGCUUUGAUUGAUGGCGACCGGCGCACGGGUGAGUAACGCGUAUCCAACCUUCCCUAUAGUAGAGGAUAGCCCGGCGAAAGUCGGAUUAAUACUCUAUGUUUUCCAAUGCAGACAUUAAGUCGAACAAGGAUCAUAAUCAGAGUUCGCGUGGUACUUACUCGAAUCACGGCGUGUAACG
RNAcentral lists this ribosomal RNA (324 nucleotides) under uncultured bacterium. RNAcentral describes it as "partial 16S ribosomal RNA". The stretch from base 61 to 324 matches the Rfam family "Bacterial small subunit ribosomal RNA", at positions 1 to 233 of the family's 1533-position model. The record is from RNAcentral.